GGGUCUAGCAUGUUCAUUUUUAUUGUCAUUGGAAAGGAAGGAAAAUGCUUACAAAUGUACUUUCUAGGUCAACUUUAUCUCCUAAGGUCAAUUUUGGCCUCGCUGUGAAGAUGAGAAGUAAAGAUACCUCUAUCCAACGUUCAGUCUACUUUACCUACAGAAGGUCUUUCCAGAAAAUAAUCUUCUAGCCCCUGCCGGGUGGAUACCAUCCUAGCUACCCGUGAUCUGGGAACCAAGCCAGUGUGGAGUGAGGAGAAUCUCAACACUUGGAACCAAGCUAAGGAUGCAGUAUCUCCUAUCCCCAACUGGGUUCCUGGACAUCCUGGGUUCUAAUUUUAAUCUUUCCAGUACAAGUCCUGGUGACUAAGUCCCCAUGGUCCACACAUACAGCCGUGUUGGAAAUUAGCAUUGCAGAGCCACUCGAGACCAGGAAUCAAAACAAGAAUUUAGUUGAGAUGAAAGGUUACGACCUUUAUCAGGAAACUGUGUCCUGUCCUCACAAAGGAACAGCUGGGAUGAUCUACAGUAAGAGGUCUGUCUGGUAAUGAUAAUUAUUGAAUUACAGCUACCAGCAGCCAUGUAGAAUUCUGGCAGCACAGAUGAAGACCUACAGUUUGGGAGAGUCUCAGAUGCAUCAAUGUGUUCUGAUCUGCUGUCUCUAAUUACAGAGAAUCUGAUUUAUUCCACUUUCACACUUGUAGCUGACCACCCAGCCUUCUUGUGGAACUAAAAUUGCCCAGCUGUAACACCUGGAAAACUAUUUCUCUCCUCAGAAACCCUACAUUGUCUUAGUAGACCCACGUAUCCAAAUGAAAAAGCAACCUUAUAAAAUCAGCAGGAAGGAAGGCAGGUGACUGAGUUCUCAGUUCUUGUUGAUUGUUCUUGGAAAUCCCCUUUGCUCAUGGAAACCUUUUCUUUUACUCUUCCUUACCUGUGGGUUAAAAUCAUGCCCUUGGGAUCCGGGCAUCUGUUGGGCCCAACUGCCUUUCAUCCCUGUCUCCUCUUUCAUUUCCUUUUCUUUUCCUCCCAUACAGAAACACCCACAGCCAGGGAAGGUGUUCUUAUAGCCAUUGGAUUAUUAGGUCCCUGGUGGCAUCUCACACAAAUAUUGGGAUGGGAUAGAACCUUUUAACCUUGGUCCCUGCAAUUAAUCUAGACCACCUUCACUUCACAAAUCUGCUUCACCUUCUUUGUUCUCUGACUCUGGAGCCUUGAUUCCAGCUUCCCAGGCCUCCAUUCUCUGCUUUGGAUAUUUGUCUCUGUCUCAACCCACAGCCUUUUCCCAUUCAUACAUUCUGCCUCCAGCCCCCAGCACUGUGAUGGGGGAAGAAGAAAUACUUCCACACCCAGAAUCAGCCAGACUGCUUCUCCCCCAGCCACCAACAGAUCCUGGCCUAUAUUAGCAGUCAACUUGAAGGCUUAGCUAACUUUGUUACCAGUGGUUACAAAUGAGUUCCACUUCUCAGCUUCCAGGACGGUCCCCUUCCCAAUAGUGGCAGCUUCCCUUUUUGUUAUUUAUCAAACAAAGGAGCCCCUUUGUCUUUGUGUUAAAGAAAAACAAACUCCCAACCUGCUCCUCCAUGCAAGUCUUAGUUUAGGUUUUCUGCAAAACCAAACCUUAGAGAGACUUGGGUCUUGGGUCCAGGUGGCCUUCUUGGGAGGGAGCGGGAAGGGUAAGAGGAGAAAAAAGCCAGUGAGGGAUGUGUUAAUCCACUGGUUAUUGUUGUGGCCAACUGGGCUCACUCUUCCUGGGGACCCUUUGAGGAACUGGGAGAGAAUACCCUCCAGAGUUGUGCCUCUGCAGAACCAGAGACUAGGGCCUGUUCCAUCCCUCCAAUGGUUGAGGCUGCCCUGGGAGUACUAAUUGUCUGCAUGCUUGGGGCUGACUGCAUAAGGGCUAAGGAAACUACCAAAGCUGGAAACAAACCCUGCAGUGGAGAAGUUGAGGAACUCUACCAGUACUUGAGGUAGGCACUGCCAGUGUGUGUGGAGAAUGUCCACCCUGGCUGUAGCUGGAAUCCCAGAGGGUCUGGGGGAAUGUGAGCACAGAAAGCAUCAGCUAUCAUUUGUGAAUGGUAAUUGAAAGCUCUCCUCCUCAUCCCCUCAAAAAAACAAAAUAUAAAGAAAUGGAAAUAUCCCUAAGAUCUGACAUAACCUCUACAGCUGUUUCAAGUCCAAGAAGAGGGAAUACUCAAGAUAGCCGGCCUCCAUAGUCAGGUCAGGGCCAAUGCAACGGACCCUUUCACUGGAGUGUCUUGUCUCCCAAAGCCUGAGUGUUUAUAUGUAGAUGGAUUUGUUUCACUAGCAAAAGUCAGGUGAAAAAGAUGAUCACCCAGCCCUGUUGUCACUCUUCAUUAGAAUCUUUUAAGGAAGCUGACUCAGAGAUGUGUGGGGCUUGGGGAUAGAACCUUUCCCCCUCCCGUGCAGUCUGAGGCUUUGGGAACAUUGAAACGCAGGCUGCAAACUACUAACUAUGGGAUUACCAAAGCAUCAAGAUGAUUUCCAAACAGAUAGACAAUCAAGAUCAUGGAAGGGGAUAACCCAGGGGAUCUGGGACCCUUCUCAGAACGUGAUGAGGUAAGUUGGCCUUUUAAAUAAGGAUUAGGUAUACUCAUAGAUAUUACUCUUCAUGAUGGCUACCAUUUGUUGUACUCAGAAUAGGUACACAGACCUUUAUUUACAUUAGCCUAAUUUUUAAAAGUAUUUAUUUAUUUAUUUGAGAGAGAGAGAGAAAGAAAGAACAUGAACAGAGAGGAGGGGCAGAGGGAGAAGCAGACUCCCCACAGAGCAGAGAGCUUGACAAGGGGCUUAAUCCCAGGACCCCAGAAUCAUGACCAGACAUUUAACUGACGAGCCACCCAGGUGCCCCUACAUUAGCCUGCUUAAUACAUAACAGCAGAGUAGAUCUACUAUUGCCAGUUGGCAAAUAAGGCAAUCGUGGCUCACAGAGGUUAAAGACUCAGGGUUGCACAGCUUCAUAAGCAGCAGAUCUGGGAUUCUAAACUAGUUCAUGGGAAAAGAGAAAUAUGACUCCUGUUAUGAUUAUAUAUACACCUUUUUAUAGAUCCAGGAAGACUGGCAACCUAAGGGGCCAGCCUGCACCUCUAUAAAACAGAGUAGCAAAUGGUUCAGAGCUCAGACUUUAGAGUCCGAUGAUGUCUUUUCUUUUAAGAUCAUCAGGGAGUAGAAUUAGAUACAAAAUUAUCUCAUCUUCCUUACAGUCUGUGAUGAAAUAGUCUUAAAACUGUAUUUUUUUAGAUUUUAUUUAUUUAUGAGAGAGAGAGAGGCGCAGAGACACAGGCAGAGAGAGAAGCAGGCUCUUUGCAAGGAGCCCGAUGCGGGACUCGAUCCCGGAUCCUGGGAUCACGCCCUGGGCCGAAGGCAGACGCUCAACCGCUGAGCCACCCAGGCAUCCCCAAACUGUAUUUUUUUAAAUAACAGUAGGUUCUAUGUGCAUGAGUAUGUAUAGUCCUAGAUAUUUGUCAUGGGAACCUAAAUGUUUUCCAGAAAAAAGUAACACAUUUCUGAAACAAAAAUGAUACUUUGUAUCCUUCUACAAGACGCAUUUGUGUCCCAAUUACAGAAAUCUGCUUAUUCUUUGGGUCGCACAUUUAUAUUUGGCAGCAAAUUUCCGAAGUUGGCAUGAACAAGCUUCCUUGGGCAAGUGUGGAAGGAAGAGCUUGCGUGCACACCCAGCAGAAAUGAAACUGCUUGCUUGAUGCGUUUGCAGGUCUUCCUACAACAUGGAGAAACCAUUUGAAAAUCUAUACUUGCCUCUGGGUAGCUGCAAACUUUCUUUCUCAUUUUUCUUUUUUCUUGAAGCUCUAGAUAUGGAUUUCUCUUGUUCUUCAUCCAGGUUCCUCAUGAGUUAUCAGGAGAAAUUGCUCAUCAGCACUGCAGACAAGGAAUGAGCUGACACAUAGACUUCUGAGAUGAGAGGCCUAAGAAGAUUGGCAACUUCUGCUUCCUUUCUUGGAAUCCAGCCACCAUCCUGUGAGAAAACAAAGGCCAUACAGAGAAGCCAUAUGGAGAAGUUCUGGGCCAUAGUCGCAGAUGAGCCCCCAGCCUACGGCCUCGACUAUCUACUGGGGAAUUAGCCAUCUUGGCUCCUCCAGCCUCAGUCAAGCAGUCAGGUGAAUUACGUGGACCAGAGAACUGCCUGGCUGAGUUCCAGUCAUUUCAUAGAAGUAUGAGAAAGAAAAUGGUUAUUACCUUAAGCUAUUGAGUUUUGGCACUUGGUUUUACGGCCAUAGAUAACUGAAACCCUGGCCUUCUUUCUGUUUCUCAAACCCAGUUAGGUCAUUUCUCCAUCAGUACCAACCCACAUUCUCUGCCAGGAUCUUCACCUGGCUGGUCCUUCUCAUCAUUCAGUUUGGGCCACAGAACCUCAGUAGUAUGUUUGUUUGGUGUUUUGGAAAGCUACCCUUUCUUUAUGUUAGGCCAUGUGGCUGAUCACCACUACCCCCUCAUCCUACUCUCAUCUGGACUCUGGGAUCAACUUGUAAUGAAGGCCAAGCCAAUCAGUAAUCUUAUUCCUCUCCACCCCUGACACACCCAACCUUAUUUACUGACUAAAGGGUGGACAUGUGACCUAAGUCAGUUUAUUUUUUAUUUUUAUUUUUUAAAAGAUUUUAUUUAUUAAUUCAUGAGACAGAGAGAGGGAGAAGCAGACUCCAUGCAGGGAGCCCGAUGUGGGACUGGAUUCCUAGUCUCCAGGAUCUGGCCCCAGGCUGAAGGCGGCGCUAAACCCCUAAGCUACCGGGGUUGCCCCUAAGUCAGUUCAGAGUCAGUCCCAGGAAUUAUUGGUGAGGAGAGACUCUUGGGGUUGGGGUUGUUAAGCUGAUUGGCGUUGUUUUUUUUUUUUUUUUUAAUUUUUAUUUAUUUAUGAUAGUCACAUGGAGAGAGAGAGAGAGAGAGAGGCAGAGAC
Molecule: long non-coding RNA, 4927 nt
Organism: Canis lupus familiaris (dog)
Lineage: Eukaryota; Metazoa; Chordata; Mammalia; Carnivora; Canidae
Exons: 6
Source: RefSeq, a predicted model, not a curated record